RNAcentral lists this long non-coding RNA (1054 nucleotides) under Linum usitatissimum (flax). Its description in RNAcentral is "long non-coding RNA (LUSI_LNC003933)". The record is from RNAcentral. Lineage: Eukaryota; Viridiplantae; Streptophyta; Magnoliopsida; Malpighiales; Linaceae.
CUGCCACGAAGUAUCACAUUUUUUUUAAACACAGAGAUACAUCCAUAACGAGAUGAUGUUUUAUUCAUUAGAACAUGCUCUCACAUACACACAAGACACAACAACGACAAUAACAAGUUUUUUAGCCGACGGUUUAUCAGCCGAAGCAGGGCACAACGUAGCCACUAUCGCCUCCCGUAGAGUUAUCAGCUUCCUUUCCGAAGACAGGCCAAUGGAGGUGGGAGUUAUCAGCCUUUCCGAAGCACGGCACAACGUAGCCACUAUCGCCCCCCAUAGAGUUAUCAGUUGCCUUUCCGAAGACAGGCCAAUUGCAGACGGAGUUAUCAGCUUCCUUUCCGAAGACAGGCCAAUUGCGGACGGAGUUAUCAGCUUCCUUUCCGAAGACAGGCCAAUUGCGGACGGAGUUAUCAGCUUCCUUUCCGAAGACAGGCCAAUGGAGGGGGGAGUUAUCAGCCUUUCCGAAGACAGGCCAAUGGAGGUGGGAGUUAUUAGCCUUUCCGAAGACAGGCCAAUUGCGGACGGAGUUAUCAGCUUCCUUUCCGAAGACAGGCCAAUGGAGGUGGGAGUUAUUAGCCUUUCCGAAGACAGGCCAAUUGCGAACGGAGUUAUCAGCCUUUCCGAAGACAGGCCAAUGGAGGUGGGAGUUAUUAGCCUUUCCGAAGACAGGCCAAUUGCGGACAUUAUCAGCCUUUCCGAAGCAGGGCACAACGUAGCCACUAUCGCCUCUCGUAGAGUUAUCAUCAGCUGCCUUUCCGAAGACAGGCCAAUUGCUGACGGAGUUAUCAGCCUUUCCGAAGACAGGCCAAUUGCGGACGGAGUGAUCAGCCUUGGCCGACGGCAAGGAAACGGUAGGGGCUGUAGGAACCCUAAAGGUGGAAGCAAGUGCAAAGGCAGAAGAAGCCAUUGAUAUGAUAGUGUUUUUUUCAAGUUAUGGAAGAUUGGUGGGUGAAGUGUUGGAGUGUUCAUGUUGCGGUAUUUAUAGCCGUCUUAGAGUGCAAUACAUUUCAAAGGAUAUUAAUUUUUUUUUAAAAACCUCUUUCUUACUAGUAUGUUU